Molecule: ribosomal RNA, 497 nt
Filed under: uncultured bacterium
Lineage: Bacteria
Description: partial 16S ribosomal RNA
Rfam family: Bacterial small subunit ribosomal RNA
Source: RNAcentral
GACGAACGCUGGCGGCGUGCCUAAUACAUGCAAGUUGAGCGAUGAAGAUUGGUGCUUGCACCAAUUUGAAGAGCAGCGAACGGGUGAGUAACGCGUGGGGAAUCUGCCUUUGAGCGGGGGACAACAUUUGGAAACGAAUGCUAAUACCGCAUAACAACUUUAAACAUAAGUUUUAAGUUUGAAAGAUGCAAUUGCAUCACUCAAAGAUGAUCCCGCGUUGUAUUAGCUAGGUGGUGAGGUAAAGGCUCACCAAGGCGAUGAUACAUAGCCGACCUGAGAGGGUGAUCGGCCACAUUGGGACUGAGACACGGCCCAAACUCCUACGGGAGGCAGCAGUAGGGAAUCUUCGGCAAUGGACGAAAGUCUGACCGAGCAACGCCGCGUGAGUGAAGAAGGUUUUCGGAUCGUAAAACUCUGUUGGUAGAGAAGAACGUUGGUGAGAGUGGAAAGCUCAUCAAGUGACGGUAACUACCCAGAAAGGGACGGCUAACUACGUG